CACCGCGGUUAAACGAGAGGCCCUAGUUGAUAACACCACGGCGUAAAGGGUGGUUAAGGAGAGAAAAUAAUAAAGCCAAAUGGCCCUUUGGCCGUCAUACGCUUCUAGGUGUCCGAAGCCCAAUAAAACGAAAGUAGCUUUAACAAUAUUCACCUGACCCCACGAAAGCUGAGGAA
This 176-nucleotide ribosomal RNA is filed under the name Aphyocypris chinensis. RNAcentral's name for it is "partial 12S rRNA". The record is from RNAcentral. Lineage: Eukaryota; Metazoa; Chordata; Actinopteri; Cypriniformes; Xenocyprididae.